RNAcentral lists this ribosomal RNA (253 nucleotides) under uncultured bacterium. RNAcentral describes it as "partial 16S ribosomal RNA". It matches the Rfam family "Bacterial small subunit ribosomal RNA", at positions 524 to 776 of the family's 1533-position model. The record is from RNAcentral.
UACGGAGGAUGCAAGCGUUAUCCGGAAUGAUUGGGCGUAAAGCGUCCGCAGGUGGCUGUGUAAGUCUGCUGUCAAAGAGCAAAGCUCAACUUUGUAAAGGCAGUGGAAACUGCACGGCUAGAGUGCGUUCGGGGCAGAGGGAAUUCCUGGUGUAGCGGUGAAAUGCGUAGAGAUCAGGAAGAACACCGGUGGCGAAGGCGCUCUGCUAGGCCGCAACUGACACUGAGGGACGAAAGCUAGGGGAGCGAAUGGG